Drosophila subobscura is the source of this 666-nucleotide long non-coding RNA. RefSeq lists it as uncharacterized. The record is from RefSeq and is a predicted model, not a curated record. The transcript has 3 exons. Lineage: Eukaryota; Metazoa; Arthropoda; Insecta; Diptera; Drosophilidae.
UCAACAAUAACAAAGAUUUGGUCUACAUUUUGCAAAUUAUUUUCGAGUCAUCUUAAGGGGUUAUUUUACUACUUGAUUUAUAACAAUUGAAGUCCAUGGAGUCUAUUUGCAUUAACUAUUGGAUUGGCGCACACCAAAGCGACGCUCUCUGCCCUUUCCCCAUAGUUCCGAUGCAGUGGAGAUGGUGGUUAAGCCGGUCAGACAAAGGUAAAGAAGGAAUAGAAAUCAGUUGAAGACAGCUCCAGCCACGACAAGUUCCUCACCGCAAGGGAAAAGGAGUCUGCAGAUCAGAUGGAAAGGGAACAGAGGCGAGCGAAAGGUAAAAAAAAAUCAAUGGAUCCCAACAGUGAGCCCUGACCAGAGCACAUUGAGGUAGAUGUUCGAUUGACACUAGCAAGCAAGAAGGUCCCAGCAACCGCACUCCCAUCGAAAUCCAGGAACUGUGUUGUUGAUGCAAUCGCCAUUGAGAACAGUUAGGAUGUACUAGCAGAUUCCAAGGAAGAAAGGAAGUUCCAUCGCGACAGAGGCACAAGCCAUCAGUGUGUUCAACAAAUCAAAUCUUAAUGUUAAUGGGGAACCCAAAUUCGUUAACAAUUCCAUCGACGGCGGUGUGCUCUCUAUCUGUAUUUACAUAUGUAUGUGCGUGCUGUUGAUCUGUAAACUUGU